Long non-coding RNA from Spinacia oleracea (spinach), 769 nucleotides. RefSeq lists it as uncharacterized. The record is from RefSeq and is a predicted model, not a curated record. Lineage: Eukaryota; Viridiplantae; Streptophyta; Magnoliopsida; Caryophyllales; Amaranthaceae. The transcript has 2 exons.
GGCUUACGCUGUUCUUCAUCCUGAACGUGUCUGCAGCCGUCAUCCUGAACAACUUUUCAGAAUCUUCAGUGAACGAGGUGCAUUCCAUUGUGCCAGUCCCAUCAGAUGCCACGAAAUUGUAGCUUACUUUGGAGUAGACACGGUAUCUGCCUUACAUCUGGUGCAAGUGUAGGAUGUCCCUGCUGGAAUGUCUCCACGCCGUCCACAAGCAGAGCACCGCAGGUAUGCAUUGAUCGUGCUCAUUUGAGGGUUGGGUAUUGUAACCCUGAGCCAAUGGCGUUGCUCUUGCAAGGUGUUGUAAGGCUAGGGAAAAAAUCCGACAGGUUCACAAGUCAGGCACACUUCUUUAUAUUCUGAAGUGCAUCUACAUUAACGGAACAAUAAGACAUACAUUAUUUGUGUAUCACUUUUUCGCAUAUGAGUGUGGGUUUCCAACAGGUUUAAGCUCAGUUACCCCGGGCCACUUUCUUGAGGCCGUCACUUUUUCGCAUAUGAUCGCUUUAUUAUGAAGCAACAUUAUAACAGCUCUAAUCAGACAAAAACUACCUGUGUAUUCUGUUCUCACUGAAUGUAAAGUUAGCGUAGUUGAUUGGAUGGUAUUUUGUCGUUACUUAGUUUAGCAGUUAUGCAAUGCAAUAUAGUUUAGGUUAUGCAAUGCAAUGUAAACACAAUGAUGAUGUUGUAGCAGUCCUUAAAUUCCCUAUCUAUUUUUAGUAGCUAUGCAACGCAAUUUAGUUUAGGCUAUGUAAUAUCUUUGAUGUUCCUUCCA